GAGUUUGAUCAUGGCUCAGAUUGAACGCUGGCGGCAUGCCUUACACAUGCAAGUCGAACGGCAGCACGGGAGCUUGCUCCUGGUGGCGAGUGGCGAACGGGUGAGUAAUGCAUCGGAACGUAUCCUGGAGUGGGGGAUAACGUAGCGAAAGUUACGCUAAUACCGCAUAUUCUGUGAGCAGGAAAGCGGGGGACCUUCGGGCCUCGCGCUCUUGGAGCGGCCGAUGUCGGAUUAGCUAGUUGGUGAGGUAAAGGCUCACCAAGGCGACGAUCCGUAGCAGGUCUGAGAGGAUGAUCUGCCACACUGGAACUGAGACACGGUCCAGACUCCUACGGGAGGCAGCAGUGGGGAAUUUUGGACAAUGGGGCAACCCUGAUCCAGCCAUGCCGCGUGAGUGAAGAAGGCCUCGG
This 410-nucleotide ribosomal RNA is filed under the name bacterium enrichment culture clone ALO1_GLFRUDD03G1UVB. RNAcentral's name for it is "bacterial SSU rRNA". It matches the Rfam family "Bacterial small subunit ribosomal RNA", at positions 9 to 420 of the family's 1533-position model. The record is from RNAcentral.